AAUAAAACCACUUAACGUACACACUUAGUGGUGUAAUUUUGAGGUGGAAUAUGGCUGGGGAUGGACAUAGAAGCAAAAAAUGUUUUUUUUUUUAAAGCAAGGAGGGUCUGGACAAUAAUAUGAGGGGGAAAAAAGUACUACCGAGAAUAUUUCAUAAUUAAACAAACGUUUUAUAUCAUAAAAAACCUUUUCAUUAUUAGUUUUCUUUUUUGCUCAUAUGCUCAAUACGCU
This is a non-coding RNA of Cinara cedri, 231 nucleotides long. NCBI's taxonomy places the organism in Eukaryota, Metazoa, Arthropoda, Insecta, Hemiptera, Aphididae. The record is from the annotation of a GenBank genome assembly.